Molecule: ribosomal RNA, 442 nt
Filed under: uncultured bacterium
Lineage: Bacteria
Description: partial 16S ribosomal RNA
Rfam family: Bacterial small subunit ribosomal RNA
Source: RNAcentral
CCUACGGGUGGCAGCAGUAGGGAAUCUUUCACAAUGGGCGAAAGCCUGAUGGAGCAACGCCGCGUGCAGGAUGAAGGCCUUCGGGUUGUAAACUGCUUUUAUAAGCGAGAAAUAUGAUGGUAACUUAUGAAUAAGGAUCGGCUAACUACGUGCCAGCAGCCGCGGUCAUACGUAGGAUCCGAGCAUUAUCCGGAGUGACUGGGUGUAAAGAGUUGCGUAGGUGGCAUAAUAAGUAGCUAGUGAAAUCUGGUGGCUCAACCAUUCAGACUAUUAGCUAAACUGUUAAGCUCGAGACCGUUAGGGGUAACGGGAAUUUGUAGUGUAGGAGUGAAAUCCGGAGAUAGUAGAAGGAACACCAAUAGCGUAGGCAGGUUGCUGGGACGGUUCUGACACGAAGGCACGAAAGCGUAGGGAGCAAACGGGAUUAGAUACCCUAGUAGUC